Molecule: ribosomal RNA, 840 nt
Filed under: uncultured soil archaeon
Lineage: Archaea
Description: bacterial SSU rRNA
Rfam family: Archaeal small subunit ribosomal RNA
Source: RNAcentral
AGGUUACUGCUAUCGGUGUUCGCCUAAGCCAUGCGAGUCAUAUGUUCUUCGUGAACAUGGCGUACUGCUCAGUAACACGUGGAUAACCUGCCCUUGGGUCCGGCAUAACCCCGGGAAACUGGGGAUAAUUCCGGAUAACGCACAUAUGCUGGAAUGCUUUAUGCGUCAAAUAGAUUCGUCCGCCCAAGGACGGGUCUGCGGCCUAUCAGGUAGUAGUGGGUGUAAUGUACCUACUAGCCUACGACGGGUACGGGUUGUGAGAGCAAGAGCCCGGAGAUGGAUUCUGAGACAUGAAUCCAGGCCCUACGGGGCGCAGCAGGCGCGAAAACUUUACAAUGCGGGAAACCGUGAUAAGGGGACACCGAGUGCCAGCAUCAUAUGUUGGCUGUCCGGGUGUGUAAAAUACACCUGUUAGCAAGGGCCGGGCAAGACCGGUGCCAGCCGCCGCGGUAACACCGGCGGCCCGAGUGGUGAUCGUGAUUAUUGGGUCUAAAGGGUCCGUAGCCGGUUUGGUCAGUCCUCCGGGAAAUCUGACGGCUUAACCGUUAGGCUUUCGGGGGGAUACUGCCAGACUUGGAACCGGGAGAGGUAAGAGGUACUACAGGGGUAGGAGUGAAAUCUUGUAAUCCCUGUGGGACCACCUGUGGCGAAGGCGUCUUACCAGAACGGGUUCGACGGUGAGGGACGAAAGCUGGGGGCACGAACCGGAUUAGAUACCCGGGUAGUCCCAGCCGUAAACGAUGCUCGCUAGGUGUCAGGCAUGGCGCGACCGUGUCUGGUGCCGCAGGGAAGCCGUGAAGCGAGCCACCUGGGAAGUACGGCCGCAAGGCUGAAACUUAA